Molecule: ribosomal RNA, 352 nt
Filed under: uncultured bacterium
Lineage: Bacteria
Description: bacterial SSU rRNA
Rfam family: Bacterial small subunit ribosomal RNA
Source: RNAcentral
GGGCCCGCACAAGCGGUGGAGCAUGUGGUUUAAUUCGAUGAUACGCGAGGAACCUUACCAGGGCUUAAAUGUUAGGUGACAGAUCUAGAAAUAGAUUUUUUCUUCGGACACUUAACAAGGUGCUGCAUGGUUGUCGUCAGCUCGUGCCGUGAGGUGUCAGGUUAAGUCCUAUAACGAGCGCAACCCCUGUUGUUAGUUGCCAGCGAGUAAUGUCGGGAACUCUAGCAAGACUGCCAGUGCAAACUGUGAGGAAGGUGGGGAUGACGUCAAAUCAUCACGGCCCUUACGUCCUGGCUACACACGUGCUACAAUGGUAGGUACAGAGAGCAGCCACUACGCGAGUAGGAGCGAA